RNAcentral lists this unclassified non-coding RNA (230 nucleotides) under uncultured fungus. RNAcentral describes it as "sequence contains ITS1, 5.8S rRNA gene". The stretch from base 182 to 230 matches the Rfam family "5.8S ribosomal RNA", at positions 1 to 49 of the family's 154-position model. The record is from RNAcentral. Lineage: Eukaryota; Fungi.
UCUCCGUAGGUGAACCUGCGGAGGGAUCAUUAUCGAGUGAGGGCCUCUGGCCCGACCUCCAACCCUUUGUUAUCUAAACCACUGUUGCCUCGGGGGCGACCCGGGCCCAGCCCGAUAGCCCCCGGUGGACCACAUCAAAACACUGCAUCUUUGCGUCGGAUUUAUAAGUUUAAUUGAUUAAAACUUUCAACAACGGAUCUCUUGGUUCUGGCAUCGAUGAAGAACGCAGC